UUUUUUUUUUAGUAUAAUUGCUAUAGAGUGUUGUGUUACAGACUGAGAACUGUCUUGGCAAGACAGCUUCUUUUUACUCUAGUUUUGUUCCUUGCACCCCCAACUCCCUUGCAGACAGAGACACACACCAGAAAGCACUGCCUUGACAGGGAGCGCUGCUGCCUGGGGUCUGCACUGGCAACAAUGCAAAGGAGGCUGGUCACACGUGUGGCCCAGGGACCAAGUGCAGUAACAGGGGCCGUCUGUCUCCCAUAAAGGGCCCCCGAACAAUGGUUCUGCCCUCCAAGCCUGAGACUUUGCUUUCUGUUUCCUUUGGGAAAGGAAACUCUGGGAAUUCCCAUUCCUGAGUUUGCAGAAAACAUCUCUGUUAAAAGCCCAGCCAGGAGGGAGCAGAGUCCAAGGGCGGAUCAGCAGCUGGCUUUCUCCCAGAUAAUCACAGCUCCUGGGACCUGAAGACAGCAUGUGCACUUGCUGUUUUUACAUUUGGAAAGGCUUGAGUCUGGACUGCCUUUCCUGGGAGGCAGGGGUAGGGCACCUGACAAAAAUAUCCCACUGCUGCCUUGCAGCUGUGGGCACCUGGAUCCUGCCCACAUGGGCACAUUGUGUAUUGCUAGCUUCUCCACAAUCACCCGAUCUGACAGGGUAAGCCUUGUGCUUUAUUUCCCUAGGACUAACGGGCCAGGUGUGUCCUUGGUGAACCAAUGGCUUUAUUUUAACAGUGGGAAGGUCUUUAAUCCAUCUUCUGGUAAACAUUCUCAGCUGGUAGCAAAUGGUUAUCACCACAGGAAAAACAAGCUUUUUUUUUUUUUUUUUAAUUCCUUCUGCUCAUUUGCUCUGGGCAAAUUACCCUGUUUUUCCUGAGUUCAGAUCUUUUGCAAUCAUGUUGAUUUUAUCUUGUGUUUAUUAUUUUCCCUGGUUCCUGAGGUCUGACCUGGGAAGACCGUCCUGAUCUAGGAGAGGACGCUCAUCACCGCAAUCUUCACUUUACCUUUGGAUACAUUUUUCUACCUGAGAUACUAGUGAGUGAAGCAAGGUAUGACAAACUCUCUAAAAGCUCUAUGGAGAGAGGUACAUGGAACUCCCACAUAAACCAGCAAGAAACCGCAGAGCCUAGGAGAAAGUCUGAAAUUGUGGGGUCCUAGUGAGCUGGAUUAGCAUCUUUUCAAAUUGCCUCUGAAAAGCAAGUAUUGUUGAUAGAAAACUGUAAUCCUCAAAUGGUUGUAGAAGUGUACAGGCAUACUUCGUUUUAUUGUUCUUUGCAAACAUUGCAUUUUUUAAAAAUUGAAGGUUUGUGGCAACCUUGCAUUGAAUAAGUCUAUUGGUGCCAUUUUUCCAAUAGCCUUUGCUCACUUCACAUCUCUGUGUCACAUUUUGGUAAUUCUCACUACAGACAAAAAAAUGUCGCAUGUUGCCAGCCAUUUCUGUAAACAAGAAAUGUUGCCUGCUAUCAAGCCAUCAGUCACUGCAGCUGCUCCAAGGGUGUACCCCAAGGGGAAUUCAGAAUAGAGAAAAACAGGAUACUGGCCCUCCAUAAUUAAGAUGCAUAUCUAAGGAGUAAUUUUAAUGACCCAGACUCUUGUAUCUUCGUACACAAAAGGCAGUAAAAUCAUUAACUUGAGAUGUCUGUUUUUUUGUGAUUAGCAUUAAUCUUUUGAUGUUUGACUACAUGUUUUUUUGUUCUGUUUUUAAGCGAAAACUCCAUAUCUUGUUUCCUCCCUUACCUCUUUGGAACAGUUCUUCAGAGCUGUCUAACAGGCUCUCCCAUGGGCGUUGGUCCUCAUGCUCUGGAACCAAAUAUGCAGUAUCUGAGGACACUGAUUCUGAAUGGAUGUGGAGUGAGGAGAAAAAGAGGGAGCCCCUUGCUCCUCCAGGAGAUGUGAAUCAGCUGUCCAACAUGCCUAAGACACUAGUUCAUGUCCCGGAAGGUACCCAGUUUGCCUGGAAGAAUGGAUCCACGUUUCGCAGGUAAAUCUCUGACUUGGGGUAAAGCCACCCUGGCUGGUGUGUCGAGUGUAGGACUGGCUGGCUAAGAAGCCCUUCUUGGCAGGAUGGCACCACGGGACGUGAAAGACUGUGAUGAAAGCCCUGACUGUUCACUUCAGUUCAUUUCAAAGGCUACAGGGUGUUCAGACUUCUUGUCCCUGUGACGUUUGCAACGACUAAUGUAAGGUUUAAAGUGCCCAACACACCUCUUAGAGGAGA
Molecule: non-coding RNA, 2202 nt
Organism: Odocoileus virginianus texanus
Lineage: Eukaryota; Metazoa; Chordata; Mammalia; Artiodactyla; Cervidae
Source: RefSeq, a predicted model, not a curated record